GGGGCUGACCGGUUUUGACAGUAGGUGUGAAGAUCGGGCUCGCAUGCAGGCUGGAGUAUGUACGGCCUUAAAAGAUUCAUGCAAAGAUAACUGGCGAAACUUCUUACGCCAUGGCUGCCUAAUCUCUCCUAUCUUUGGAUGAGACCGGCUUAAAGGGUUGAGCACCCAUGCGGCGUUCCCCGGCCACAUCCCGCCAUCUGUUGCAUUGUCCGGAUGGAUUUGGGGUGUCGAUAAGACAAGGCUGCUUCCUGUGAGGCUACUAAUCAGGACUAAGACAAGUGGCUAAGCCAAACAUAGGUGUGUCAUCCAGCAGUGUUUGGUCGAAAACCCAACCGGUGACUAAGCAUGUAGACGGUACGGUGUUUCCCUAUCUGGACGCGGGUUCGAAUCCCGCCAGCUCCACCA
This 405-nucleotide transfer-messenger RNA is filed under the name Cecembia calidifontis. RNAcentral's name for it is "Standard tmRNA". It matches the Rfam family "transfer-messenger RNA". Rfam says of the family: Bacterial tmRNA, also known as 10Sa RNA or SsrA, is named for its dual tRNA and mRNA-like properties. Its role is to liberate the mRNA from a stalled ribosome. The record is from RNAcentral. Lineage: Bacteria; Pseudomonadati; Bacteroidota; Cytophagia; Cytophagales; Cyclobacteriaceae.